AUUUAUGUAGUGUAACACCAACACAUUACUUUUUCAUAGUAAAAAAAGAAAUUUUUCUCUUAAGUA
RNAcentral lists this transfer RNA (66 nucleotides) under Pedetontus silvestrii. RNAcentral describes it as "tRNA-Glu". The record is from RNAcentral. Lineage: Eukaryota; Metazoa; Arthropoda; Insecta; Archaeognatha; Machilidae.